This 589-nucleotide unclassified non-coding RNA is filed under the name Penicillium fructuariae-cellae. RNAcentral describes it as "sequence contains 18S rRNA gene, ITS1, 5.8S rRNA gene, ITS2, 28S rRNA gene". The stretch from base 216 to 369 matches the Rfam family "5.8S ribosomal RNA". The record is from RNAcentral. Lineage: Eukaryota; Fungi; Ascomycota; Eurotiomycetes; Eurotiales; Aspergillaceae.
GUAACAAGGUUUCCGUAGGUGAACCUGCGGAAGGAUCAUUACCGAGUGAGGGCCCUCUGGGUCCAACCUCCCACCCGUGUUUAUCGUACCUUGUUGCUUCGGCGGGCCCGCCUCACGGCCGCCGGGGGGCACCCGCCCCCGGGCCCGCGCCCGCCGAAGACACCAUUGAACUCUGUCUGAAGAUUGCAGUCUGAGCGAUUAGCUAAAUCAGUUAAAACUUUCAACAACGGAUCUCUUGGUUCCGGCAUCGAUGAAGAACGCAGCGAAAUGCGAUAAGUAAUGUGAAUUGCAGAAUUCAGUGAAUCAUCGAGUCUUUGAACGCACAUUGCGCCCCCUGGUAUUCCGGGGGGCAUGCCUGUCCGAGCGUCAUUGCUGCCCUCAAGCACGGCUUGUGUGUUGGGCCCCCGCCCCUCCCCCCGGGGGGGCGGGCCCGAAAGGCAGCGGCGGCACCGCGUCCGGUCCUCGAGCGUAUGGGGCUUCGUCACCCGCUCUGUAGGCCCGGCCGGCGCCCGCCGGCGACCCCAAUCAAUCUUUCCAGGUUGACCUCGGAUCAGGUAGGGAUACCCGCUGAACUUAAGCAUAUCAAUAA